This is a non-coding RNA of Meleagris gallopavo (turkey), 144 nucleotides long. The record is from RefSeq and is a predicted model, not a curated record. NCBI's taxonomy places the organism in Eukaryota, Metazoa, Chordata, Aves, Galliformes, Phasianidae.
AAAGCAAUGGGGAGUUGACCAGAAGCUAGCUGCUGCUUGGGGAUUGGCUGGGUGUGUAUUGCAGUGCCUGGCAAUAAAGCAGAACCAUGCACCCAGCAACACCUUUGAUCUCAACCAUAUGGAGCUCCUCCGUGCUCUUGGAAA